GCCUUCGGGUUGUAAAGCUCUUUUAGUCGGAAAGAAAGAGUUGCAAUGAAUAAUUGUGAUUUAUGACGGUACCGACAGAAAAAGCACCGGCUAACUACGUGCCAGCAGCCGCGGUAAUACGUAGGGUGCGAGCGUUAAUCGGAAUUACUGGGCGUAAAGGGUGCGCAGGCGGUCUUGCAAGUCAGAUGUGAAAGCCCCGGGCUUAACCUGGGAAUUGCGUUUGAAACUACAAGGCUAGAGUGCAGCAGAGGGGAGUGGAAUUCCAUGUGUAGCAGUGAAAUGCGUAGAGAUGUGGAAGAACACCGAUGGCGAAGGCAGCUCCCUGGGUUGACACUGACGCUCAUGCACGAAAGCGUGGGGAGCAAACAGGAUUAGAUACCCUGGUAGUCCACGCCCUAAACGAUGUCAACUAGUUGUCGGAUCUAAUUAAGGAUUUGGUAACGUAGCUAACGCGUGAAGUUGACCGCCUGGGGAGUACGGUCGCAAGAUUAAAACUCAAA
Molecule: ribosomal RNA, 500 nt
Filed under: uncultured bacterium
Lineage: Bacteria
Description: bacterial SSU rRNA
Rfam family: Bacterial small subunit ribosomal RNA
Source: RNAcentral